This 252-nucleotide ribosomal RNA is filed under the name uncultured bacterium. RNAcentral's name for it is "partial 16S ribosomal RNA". It matches the Rfam family "Bacterial small subunit ribosomal RNA", at positions 524 to 776 of the family's 1533-position model. The record is from RNAcentral.
AACGUAGGAGACAAACGUUAUCCGGAGUUACUGGGCGUAAAGGGCGUGUAGGUGGUUUAGUAAGUCUGGCGUGAAAUUUUUCGGCUUAACCGGGAAAGGUCGUCGGAUACUGCAAGACUAGAGGACGGUAGAGGCGUGUGGAAUUCCGGGUGUAGUGGUGAAAUGCGUAGAGAUCCGGAGGAACACCAGUGGCGAAGGCGACACGCUGGGCCGUACCUGACACUGAUGCGCGACAGCAUGGGAGCAAACAGG